RNAcentral lists this unclassified non-coding RNA (186 nucleotides) under air metagenome. RNAcentral's name for it is "partial contains small subunit ribosomal RNA, internal transcribed spacer 1, and 5.8S ribosomal RNA". The stretch from base 1 to 46 matches the Rfam family "Eukaryotic small subunit ribosomal RNA", at positions 1786 to 1831 of the family's 1831-position model. The record is from RNAcentral.
AAGUCGUAACAAGGUUUCCGUAGGUGAACCUGCGGAAGGAUCAUUACAAAAUUUCGAGUGCUGAGCAGUCGCAUUGCCUCUUGUGGGCGAUGUUGACUGCCGACACCACUUUACGCUUGUUGUGUUUGACAGAGUUAUGUUGGAUUUAAAUAUAGACAACUUUUAACAAUGGAUCUCUUGGCUCUU